AAUGUACUCCCUUCGUUCGAAAAUUCUUGUCUUAGAUUUGUCUAGGUAUAGACUUAUCUAGUCAUGUUUUAGUGUUAGAUACAUCCGUAUCUAUCUAUGCCUAGACGAAUCUAAGACAAAAAUUUUGGGACGGAGGUAAUAGUAC
This is a non-coding RNA of Triticum aestivum (bread wheat), 145 nucleotides long. Lineage: Eukaryota; Viridiplantae; Streptophyta; Magnoliopsida; Poales; Poaceae. The record is from Rfam.